Long non-coding RNA from Heterocephalus glaber (naked mole-rat), 1799 nucleotides. The record is from Ensembl. NCBI's taxonomy places the organism in Eukaryota, Metazoa, Chordata, Mammalia, Rodentia, Bathyergidae.
CGUGGUGGAGGUGGAGAAAAUGAAAGGAAUUGGGCAGAAGUCACAGGAGGAAAUAGGACAGUGCCAGCCUGAAGAGCAGGCCAGCUGGGAGGGAAAUGGGGGCACUAGGGCUCAGACUCUUGGCUGGUGGUCAGUAAAACCCAAGGGAUGCUGACAUUGGCAACAGGACCAGCAGAUUUGAGCCUGGCCUAGGGGCUGAGGUGUAGCUCAGUAGCAGAGCACUUACCUGGUAUAUGUGAAGUCCUGGGUUCCAUGUCCAGCAACACCAAAAACAAAACAAAACAGCCCCAAAUAUAAUACCAGCUGCUGCACUAGGGCGAGCAAGCUGCACUUCCUGCUUCUGCUGCAGGAACGAAGGGAACAACCCCCUCUCCUUGGGACUGAGAAGGCACAGUCAGGGAAACGGGUGCCAGGCCUUUCUGCCCUCCCCUGCAGGAUUUCAUGGCUGAGAGGGAAGCACAUAAACAAAGACAGGAAAACAAAGGAUUCCCUUGAAAAGUGCGAAUUGGUGCUAAAGUCAAGGCCAAAAUCUGUGGCCUGCGUGCUUUGGAGACCAGCCCUCCCCUUCUAUCAGAAACUGGCAGAUGAUCAUCUUUGCCUGUUAAUCCAAUCCUGGAGGAGGAAAAACAUCCCAAUGAUGGUGCCAGAGUCUCAGUCCCAUGGCAGUGCCCCAUCACCGCCAAGGACGAAAUGCAUGAGGGUACUUGAAAUGGAGCAGUGUCCACAUCUGCGGAUUCCACUUCUGUGCGGGCUCUUAGCGGGGUAUGGCCUCUGCUCAGGGGCCAUCCCUCCAGCCACCUUUGUCCAUAGGUCCUCCCCUUCAGCCUCCUCCAGCCCCAGUGUUAAGGGUUGAACUGUAUUCCCCCCAAAGUCACGUGUUGAAGCCCUAACCCCCAGGACUUCACUCAGAAUGUGGGGUCUUUGCAGAGAUAAUCAAGUUGAAAUAAGGUCUUUCCAGGGAGACCCUAAUCCAGUAUGUCUAUGACCUUAAAAAAAAAGAAAUCUGCACCCAGAGACACACAUAGCGGGAGAAUGAUGUAAAGAGACCCAGGCAGAAGGCGCCAUGUGCACGGCAGGGACAGAGUCCAGGAGCAGACUCCCCUCGGGGCUCUCAGAAGGACCCAGCACUGCCCACCCCAGACUUGGACUUCCUGUCUCUGGAAGUGAUGUGAUAAUGGCCCUGUGUAAGCCCCAGUCAGCGCUGUGUUACGCAACCCCGGCCCUUCCUCACUGGGUCCCUUGAGAAUGUGCCUUCCAAUGACCCACGUGCUCCCCUCUUGACUUCCCUGCUUACAACCAGCAGAGUGACUCCUGCAUCCCAACCCCUGCAACCCUCUCAGCGGCUUUCCAAUCUGAGACAAGCCUCCCCCAGGUGACCAACACAGUCCCCGAGAGGCGAGCCCUGGUUCCUGACACAGGCACAUGCAUUGUGGGCAGACCUGAGAGUGUGUCAACACCUUACUGAUCCGGGAAAGCAGCUGUAGAAGCCACACCUGGCUGGAGUGACUUGAGGACACAAGAGUUCUGGAUGUGAGGAGGUGGAUACUGUGAGCCAGACAGCUGGGGUGCCAGGAGAGAGGUCAGCGUGGAGGCUGAUGCUGGUGAGAAUGACAGAGGGAGCAGCCUUUAAUAAAUAUUGAUGAAGAACUGAUAAAUGAACGAAUUAAUGAGCCAAAUGUUAUUCCCAUGUGUGCUGUUGUCUGCCCCGCAGGAUGCAGCACGCAUCAUAAUAAUGAGCUGCACACAGAGGGAUGGGAAAUGGCGCCAACACACCAAUCUGCUCCCAUCUCUGAGCUACA